Molecule: ribosomal RNA, 432 nt
Filed under: uncultured bacterium
Lineage: Bacteria
Description: partial 16S ribosomal RNA
Rfam family: Bacterial small subunit ribosomal RNA
Source: RNAcentral
AACGAACGCUGGCGGCAUGCCUAACACAUGCAAGUCGAACGAGACCUUCGGGUCUAGUGGCUCACGGGUGCGUAACGCGGGGGAACCUGCCCUUAGGCUCGGAAUAACUCCCCGUAAGGGGUGCUAAUACCGGAUAAUGUCUUCUGACCAAAGAUUUAUCGCCUUUGGAUGGGCCCGCGUUGGAUUAACUAGUUGGUAGGGUAAAAGCCUACCAAGGCGGCGAUCCAUAGCUGGGAUGAGAGGAUGAUCAGCCACACUGGGACUGGGACCCGGCCCGGACUCCUGCGGGAGGCAGCAGUGGGGAAUAUUGGACAAUGGGCGAGAGCAUGAGCCAGCAGUGCCGCGUAGGUGAUGAAGGCCUUAGGGUUGUAAAGCUCUUUUACCCGGGAUGAUAAUGCCAGUACCGGGAGAAUAGGCUCCGCCUAAUUCCGG